Molecule: ribosomal RNA, 500 nt
Filed under: uncultured bacterium
Lineage: Bacteria
Description: partial 16S ribosomal RNA
Rfam family: Bacterial small subunit ribosomal RNA
Source: RNAcentral
AUUGAACGCUGGCGGAAUGCUUUACACAUGCAAGUCGAACGGCAGCACGGACUUCGGUCUGGUGGCGAGUGGCGAACGGGUGAGUAAUGUAUCGGAACGUGCCCAGUCGUGGGGGAUAACGUAGUGAAAAUUACGCUAAUACCGCAUACGAUCUAUGGAUGAAAGCGGGGGAUCGCAAGACCUCGCGCGAUUGGAGCGGCCGAUAUCAGAUUAGGUAGUUGGUGGGGUAAAGGCCCACCAAGCCAACGAUCUGUAGCUGGUCUGAGAGGACGACCAGACACACUGGAACGUAGACACGGUCCAGACUCCUACGGGAGGCAGCAGUGGGGAAUCUUGGACAAUGGGCGAAAGCCUGAUCCAGCCAUUCCGCGUGCAGGAUGAAGGCCCUCGGGUUGUAAACUGCUUUUGUACAGAACGAAAAGGUUUCUACUAAUACUAGGAGCUCAUGACGGUACUGUAAGAAUAAGCACCGGCUAACUACGUGCCAGCAGCCGCAGUAA